AGUGAACGCUGGCGGUAGGCCUAACACAUGCAAGUCGAACGGCAGCACAGUAAGAGCUUGCUCUUACGGGUGGCGAGUGGCGGACGGGUGAGGAAUACAGCGGAAUCUACUUUUUCGUGGGGGAUAACGUAGGGAAACUUACGCUAAUACCGCAUACGACCUACGGGUGAAAGCAGGGGAUCUUCGGACCUUGGGCGAUUGAAUGAGCCGAUGUCGGAUUAGCUAGUUGGCGGGGUAAAGGCCCACCAAGGCGACGAUCCGUAGCUGGUCUGAGAGGAUGAUCAGCCACACUGGAACUGAGACACGGUCCAGACUCCUACGGGAGGCAGCAGUGGGGAAUAUUGGACAAUGGGCGCAAGCCUGAUCCAGCCAUACCGCGUGGGUGAAGAAGGCCUUCGGGUUGUAAAGCCCUUUUGUUGGGAAAGAAAAGCAGCAGGUUAAUACCCCGCUGUUCUGACGGUACCCAAAGAAUAAGCACCGGCUAACUUCGUG
RNAcentral lists this ribosomal RNA (492 nucleotides) under uncultured bacterium. Its description in RNAcentral is "partial 16S ribosomal RNA". It matches the Rfam family "Bacterial small subunit ribosomal RNA", at positions 29 to 507 of the family's 1533-position model. The record is from RNAcentral.